RNAcentral lists this unclassified non-coding RNA (2085 nucleotides) under Hevea brasiliensis (rubber tree). Lineage: Eukaryota; Viridiplantae; Streptophyta; Magnoliopsida; Malpighiales; Euphorbiaceae. The record is from RNAcentral.
CGCCUUUCGCCUUGAUAACACUAGUUCCAACAUUAAACAGAAAUGAUGGAGAGGGGGUGGUGGAGGGGGCAAAUGUGGAAAAAAUAUUGGAAAACCUCUAUUUAUAUCCCAUGAAGGUGCAGCUAUAGAUCUCCAUUUAAGUACUACACUUUAGGCACAACAGAGUUGUUGCCCACAUCAACAUUCUUUUCUUACCCCAUGAAGAUCUUGCCACAAGGACAACGAAUCCACAAAUUGAUUCACCAUUGCAUCAUUUCAGUUCCAUAUUGAUUCUCUUAGUCAGGCAGUACACUUUGGGAAUCCUUUGAUAGAAGGUAUCCAUGCAAAGAACCACUUUGGGAGAAGUCCUUAAAAAAAUAUCUUCACCAGAACCUAGCCCCUCAGCAAUUUAGCGGUACAAUUUAACCUUAAGCUUUUUACUCCUAGAGGAUAGAUUGAUAUCAAAAUCUCCAACCACUCUUGCUCUAUAAACCAAUCCCAAAAAUUUCAGCACAGAGGCCACUUCCCAGUCAUUGACAGACAUCAAAAACUGGCUUCUACAGUAUCACCACACCACACCAGCUCAUACCAGCUACUGAAGCAUUGUUCUCUAUAAUACAAGUAACAUGCCUCCGAGCCACAUGUUGAAUCAAGCAACAUUCCCUAAGAGAACUAUCUUCCAACCCGAUACCAUAGAAGACAUCUCCAACAAAAUGGUCCCAGCAAUCUCCUACACCUUUUCCCAAACCCAAUCUAUAUGAAUUAUUGGCUACUUUCACCACAGCAAUGCAAGUUUAGACACCCGCAAAGAAAAUUUAAAUGAAAAAAAAAAGGCAAAGAUAACAACUUACAUAAGAUUAAUAAAAUUAGAAAGCGAAAACAAAAGACGUGCAAUUGUCUAGAAUAAUUACAUCACAAAUACUAAUACUUAAUAUAUUUUCCAAUUAAGUACCAUAACUAUUUUACUUUUCAAUAAAGUUCUUAUACUUUCUAAAACCUAAACCAUUAGAACUAAGCAAAUGAGUUAUAAGAAUUUUUUUUUUUUUUUAAUUAAUGUCAUCCGGAACAGCAAUUUUGACAAAUAAGCUCUCCCAUUUGGCAAAGAUAUUAAAUUUUCCAUGAUACAAUGAAAAUAAAAGAGAAUGUGAAUGAAUGGUUUUUUUGUUUUCCUCUUUUUCUUUUUCAGGAGGUUGUUUGCUCAUGAGGUGCUCUAUCUCCCAAGUCCCACCUCCCUACAAAUACUUGUUCCUUGAUUAAGAUGUCACCAAAAGACAAAAAGAAAUUCCAUUUGCAAAAUAAGAAAGGGUGGCAAUGGAAGAUUCUAGGCUAAUGUAGGAAUAGUGAUUUCCUUCUAUAAGCGUAUAACAAGGAAAUUUUAAAACAAUUUCAGAGCUGACAGUUUGACCACCGAAUUGGAACUGGCCCCAUGACCAAUCCAAUUUAAGUGUUCUUAUUGACAAAUAUUAAAUGAUCUGGCAAAACCAGGUGAAAAAGCAAACCUGCAGAGAACAGUUGAAACUUGGAUUUUAUAGAACUCCAUAUUUUAGCAAAAGUGUUAGAACUGGUUUAGAACUUUACAUGCUGUUAGAAUUGGUUUCCGUUUACAUUUGACAAAAUCUAGUGAACUGGCAGACUCAUAAAGAACUGUUCAAACUCAAUCUUUGCUAAAACUAAAACAUUUUAGCAAAGAAAAUAAGCCUGCAGUGACUUUCUGUCCGCUUUCUCUCACUCCGUCACUAUCUGUAAUCUUGAAACUCUCACUCCAUCCCUCUCUGUUCAUAAUCCUAAUAUGUGAAGACACUAUGCAACAUCAAUAUGUGAAGUUUCUGGAUUGAUGGUCCAAUCCACAUUCAGACCAGAAAGCAAAUUCACUGGCAUUGGGAAUAAUGGUAUUUGUGGUGAUUUGGAAUUGAGAAUCCAAACCCCAAUUCAAUUGCAAGAAACUACCUAGGUUCAACCAUUUUCAGUCCAGGAAGAAAAUGGACAGCUCAGAUUUUGUGGAAAACAAGGUAGGUUAAAAGUUCAAUUUCAGGAUUAUUAGGGGAAUGGAGAGGUUUUUCUUUCCCCCACUUUAAAUUUCAAAUUGAUGAUAUAGAGAAGCAAAAU